AGCGAACGCUGGCGGCAGGCCUAACACAUGCAAGUCGAACGGACCCUUCGGGGUUAGUGGCGGACGGGUGAGUAACACGUGGGAACGUGCCUUUAGGUUCGGAAUAGCUCCUGGAAACGGGUGGUAAUGCCGAAUGUGCCCUUCGGGGGAAAGAUUUAUCGCCUUUAGAGCGGCCCGCGUCUGAUUAGCUAGUUGGUGAGGUAACGGCUCACCAAGGCGACGAUCAGUAGCUGGUCUGAGAGGAUGACCAGCCACACUGGGACUGAGACACGGCCCAGACUCCUACGGGAGGCAGCAGUGGGGAAUCUUGCGCAAUGGGCGAAAGCCUGACGCAGCCAUGCCGCGUGAAUGAUGAAGGUCUUAGGAUUGUAAAAUUCUUUCACCGGGGACGAUAAUGACGGUGCCCGGAGAAGAAGCCCCGGCUAACUUCGUG
RNAcentral lists this ribosomal RNA (433 nucleotides) under uncultured bacterium. Its description in RNAcentral is "partial 16S ribosomal RNA". It matches the Rfam family "Bacterial small subunit ribosomal RNA", at positions 29 to 507 of the family's 1533-position model. The record is from RNAcentral.